RNAcentral lists this ribosomal RNA (780 nucleotides) under uncultured Actinobacillus sp. Its description in RNAcentral is "bacterial SSU rRNA". It matches the Rfam family "Bacterial small subunit ribosomal RNA", at positions 99 to 877 of the family's 1533-position model. Lineage: Bacteria; Pseudomonadati; Pseudomonadota; Gammaproteobacteria; Pasteurellales; Pasteurellaceae. The record is from RNAcentral.
CGGACGGGUGAGUAAUGCUUGGGAAUCUGGCUUAUGGAGGGGGAUAACUACGGGAAACUGUAGCUAAUACCGCGUAAUAUCUUCGGAUUAAAGGGUGGGACUUUCGGGCCACCUGCCAUAAGAUGAGCCCAAGUGGGAUUAGGUAGUUGGUGGGGUAAAGGCCUACCAAGCCGACGAUCUCUAGCUGGUCUGAGAGGAUGACCAGCCACACUGGAACUGAGACACGGUCCAGACUCCUACGGGAGGCAGCAGUGGGGAAUAUUGCACAGUGGGGGGAACCCUGAUGCAGCCAUGCCGCGUGAAUGAAGAAGGCCUUCGGGUUGUAAAGUUCUUUCGGUGAUGAGGAAGGUGUUUGUUUUAAUAGAGCAAGCAAUUGACGUUAGUCACAGAAGAAGCACCGGCUAACUCCGUGCCAGCAGCCGCGGUAAUACGGAGGGUGCGAGCGUUAAUCGGAAUGACUGGGCGUAAAGGGCACGCAGGCGGUGACUUAAGUGAGAUGUGAAAGCCCCGAGCUUAACUUGGGAAUUGCAUUUCAUACUGGGUCGCUAGAGUACUUUAGGGAGGGGUAGAAUUCCACGUGUAGCGGUGAAAUGCGUAGAGAUGUGGAGGAAUACCGAAGGCGAAGGCAGCCCCUUGGGAAUGUACUGACGCUCAUGUGCGAAAGCGUGGGGAGCAAACAGGAUUAGAUACCCUGGUAGUCCACGCUGUAAACGCUGUCGAUUUGGGGAUUGGGCUUUAAGCUUGGUGCCCGUAGCUAACGUGAUAAAUCGACCGCCUGGG